GAUUCUAACUUGUCGCAAAGAAAA
Molecule: non-coding RNA, 24 nt
Filed under: Gossypium hirsutum (cotton)
Lineage: Eukaryota; Viridiplantae; Streptophyta; Magnoliopsida; Malvales; Malvaceae
Source: RNAcentral